Molecule: long non-coding RNA, 12024 nt
Filed under: Lynx pardinus (Iberian lynx)
Lineage: Eukaryota; Metazoa; Chordata; Mammalia; Carnivora; Felidae
Source: RNAcentral
GCGAGACUCAUGGACACGCUGGGGGAGAAGAUUCCUUCCCGUCCACUCCUUCCUUCCACAUGUGGAAGCUCAGGCAGAGAGAAGUCAAGUCGCUUGCCCAAGGUCUGUGAGUCUUAAUAUUUAAAUGCUGAAGAUAAACUCCAAGCCCUUCGAAGCACGGCCCUUUUGAUUUUGCGCCAACCCCCGGUGCAGCCAGUGAAGAACUUGUCCUUCACUCGAUGAGUUAGAGCUUUACUCAGGGCACAGGUUGAAAAGUCCAGUUUAGUAAACACGGGCAUUAGCAGUAACCCAAUUCCCUGCGUGCUUCCUGGGUUCCAAGCACUAUGCUGAAUGCUUUACAGGGGCGAUUUAGCCUCUACCGUAAGCCUGCGGUACAGGUAAUAGCAUCAAUCUUAUUUCUGUUCUAAGGAAUAGGAGCUCCAGAGGACUGAGCCUCGUGCCCCUAGAUGCACAGCCAGCUGGCAAGCGGCUGAGUCUUAGCACUGGAAAGGACUCACAGCGCCAACUCACCCACAGGCAGAAUUUUAUUCCCAGAGAGUCAAGAAACUUGCCUGAGGUAAGAAGGGAGAGCCAAACUAUAACAGACUCUUAAAAACUGAGAACAAACGGAGGGUUGAUGGGGGGUGGGAGGGAGGGGGGGGUGGGUUGAUGGGCAUUGAGAAGGGCACCUGUUGGGAUGAGCACUGGGUGUUGUAUGGAAACCAAUCUGACAAUAAAUUUCAUAUUAAAAAAAAAAAAAAAGAAGAAGAAGAAGUGGAACUCAAAUGAAAGCCAAAAGUCUGCAGUCCUGAAACAUGGCCAAAGCCAUUUUGUAGCAAUCCGGUAAAAGCCUUGAAAUGACCAUCUCAUAAAGCAACCAGCCAGACCCUCCUUCCUCCCACCUGAGGGUGCCUCCUGGUCACCUGGCCCUGACUUACUCAGCAUGCACCCCCAUUUUUAAUAGAAAGCAUCCUCAAAUGCAAACUUGUCAACUCAUUCAACAUUCAUUCAACAAACACAUGUCAGGUCUCAGGCCUCUGCAAGGCACGAGGUGAGGGUGGAGGUGCAAAGAUCCGUGGCGUGGAACGUGCCCUCCGGGUCCCUCAAGUGCACCAGCACUCUUACUUCACCAGACAGACAUGGAGGAGCCUGAGAGGUGAUGGCUUUUGCUGUUCCUCUUUAACAGUAAGCGGCGCGAGCUCAUGUUUGCCAGAAGAACUAUGCAAACAUUUAUAUAUCCUAAUACCCAUCAAGGCCGCCCCGAAGCAACCUGCCCUGAAUGGCUUGAGUUCUAUUUCCUCUGUUAAAAUUAAGUGUCCCUGGCUGCAUUCAGGGUACACUGUGUUAACCAGUCAAUGAGCAGAGCCAGGAAACUCAGUUUCGAAGGAAAGGAGAAAAAAGGAAUGAGCAGACAUUUAAGGUGAGCAACUGGAAAGCACAUACUUGGAAAGCAAAUGCAUCAAGAAUGGCCUUUGGAGCCAGUUUUGUCUGAUUUGGAUCUUGGCUCCCACCAAUCACAGGCUGUGUGACGUUGAUUAGUCCUGUAGUUGUUCUCAGGUUCCGCUCAAAAUCACGAAACGAUGUACUAACACCCACCUUGCAGGGUUAUUAGAUUCAUGAUAAUGUGUGCAAAAUGCCUAGCACAGUGUCUGCUAUCUUGCAUUGUCCAAUGCAUGGCAACUGCCAUUAUUAUUCACAAUCACUGGAGAUUUCCACUAACACUUGAUUUGUCCCAGUUGUCAAUUAAGUUGAAGACUUCCAAAAGUGCGGAAAAAUAAUUUCUUAAGGCAAAAUUUAAUAAUCAGCUGAGUAAGUAUCUGCUCUGGACUUCAGUGGGGGGUGAGGAAAGCAGGGAGCACUGACUUUUCAAUGACCCUGAGAAAAUAAAAACACAAAUCACAAUGAAAACCGAGCUAAGAAAACUUAUUUUCAAAACACUAGGAUAAGCCUCUGUGUAGACAGCGAAUGAACUCAACAAUUUGUUUCAGAUCAAAAGGCAAACUAUAAAUGAACAUGGAUAUCCCUUUGUCACCAGGGUUGACCAUCUAAGUCUGUGCCAGAACCAGGUGAGGUGGAUCAGGUAAUAGUAGCUGCAAUAACAGAUAAACCCCAAAAGAAAAUCUUGCUUUCUCAUUUGCAUAAAGUCCAACAAAGUGGGGAUAGGAGAGAUGUGAAAGGGGUCCUUCAGGCUAAUCUUCAACAUGAGGCUCCCAAGUCUGCCCUGGCAUCAACAUCCAGCCUACAGAUGGAAAAACAGGAAGGCACCUAUCACCUCUGCAUCCACACUCCAUUGGCUAGAAUUUAGUCACAUGGUCAUACCUAACUGCAAAGGAGGCUGGGAAAACUCAGCCUGUUGGCUGUUUGCUCAGCAGGAACUGGGAAUGGGUUUUCAGAAUAGCAAUCAGUUUCUGCUACACGGCACCUGCAAACACCAGGGAUUCCAUGUUUGGGAAAUCUAAGACCCAUUCUUUCUUGUUUUCAUUCUUGCAACCCAACCCAAGUAUUUAGUCCCCACAUUCAUAGUACUACAGGCAAAUUUCACACAACAAAGUGACAAAAUAGGAGAAUAAAAGAGAGGGUGGUAGAUUAUAAGGGCUCUAAAAGGGGAAAGUCAAAUGAAAUUUACAUUCAGAGGCAAAAUUCAACAUUCACCCUCUCUGCUUAUACAAGACCCUGAAGGUGAAGGCCCUAAGAAACUAUAGCAGCAUUCACAGAGCUGCAUCAGCAGAUUCUGCUGUGUUUUGACAGAGCUAAAUUUAAGCUAGAACUUGAGUCUUUCUCAAAAUGAGAGCCUUUGAUUGAUUGUUUGAGUGUUAUGACUCCUGGAUAUUGUGACUCAAAUCUACAUCCCCAAAUAAUACCAUCUGUAAUGAUCACACCUUGUUCUGGAGAGUUCACCUCUUAGAGCUUCCAGACUUUGGAGAAAUGGCUUCCUUUAUUGGCAUGUCCAAACCAAGUACUCACAACUUGGGCAGCUCUAUCUCUGGAUCACUGCCCAUUUUCCCGGACUCCAUGUGGCUCUGGCCCAGGCCACAAGACGCUCAGGCUGAAGCUUCCUGUCUCUUCUUCCACACCCUUCCACCUUCUUGCAAAAACUGUGUUUUGGAGCUUGUAUCAUCUCAGCUUUAAUUUUUGUAUCAUGACCCACAACAAUAAAUAAAUUUUAUAUUUUGACCCAGUACACAUACACACACACACACACACACACACACACACACACAAUUAAAUCAAAAAUUUCUUGAAACAUUCGUAUUUUAUUAAGAAUGAUGCACUCUGAUACUUUUUGUUCACUUCUGUUUCAAUCCAUUAAAAAAUGCUUCUUGGGACUCACUAAAUGGUUUAGACAAACCAUCUUCUGUAGAUUGUCAUGUCUGUAAUCUACUAGCCUACAGUCACUGGCCUACAUUAGCAGAACUAUUUUUUCUCUCCUUGAGGCCAGUGAACUUCAUCUCUGCUGCACUUUUCCCAUAUUCUCUUAGAACCACACUCUCAUCUUUUCCCCUCAUCACCUUUAAAAUCUUUACCUCCAGUAUCUCCUUGGACUUCCACCCUUGGACUUCCUGUUAUGCCCACUUUACCUACGUUUCAAGCUUAAUCAGGACCUUUAGACCCUUACUCUUUCAUUGACUCUUCUUUAUCAGAAUCUUCCUGGUUUUAUAUUUUCUGCAAUCUACACAGACUCCAUGAUUACAACCUCCUGAUUUGUCCACCAGUCUACUACUUGGCAUGAGAUAUUUUGGUUCUGUCCUCCUGAUAACCAAGCCUACAGCUUGGCCAUCAGCCCAAUGCACAUGGCCAAGAAAAUGUAGGCACUAAAGUAUCUGAGCCAGGCCCAUCAAUUGGGGUUGAUGUCUACAUGGAGUCACCACUGCUUAUUUAUUUAUUCCUUAGCCCACUAUAAUUUUUCCACCUCCAAUCCUUCUGUACUGUUAUAUAGACUGAGGAAUGCAAAGCAUACUCUUUGGGCCUUAUUUUAUUCUCUCUGCAGCUCUAUCUGAGACUAUCAACCUUCAAAAUCUCUCCCCAUCACUUUGAGAGCUCCCUCUUUCCGAAUUUUUUACAUUCUCUUUUGCCACUCCUUUUCAAGCUUCUUUAUAAAUUCUUUCUCCUCUCUCUACCCCUUAACUGCUGGGGUUCUCAAGUUCCUCCCCUUUCAGCACACUGCACAACAUUCCAAGGCAAAGCCAUCCACACCCAUGGUUUCCACUUCCAUCUGUAUAAUGAUGAUUCUCACAAAUAUUCUAAAUCCUCAACCCUCUGUGGCUUCAUAUCCAAUGUCUACCGCAUCCCUUCACCUGGAUGUCUCACAGAGCCUUUCAAAUUCAACAUGUCCCAAACUGAAGUUGGACGUUUCUUCCUACUUAGUGUUUUCCAAUGGUUUUCCAUUGCACUUAGAAGAAAAAUGCAUGAGGAGCACCUGGGUGGCUCAAUCGGUUAAGCAUCCAACUUCAGCUCUGGUCAUGAUCUCACAGUUUGUGAGUUCAAGCCCCACGUUGGGCUCUGUGCUGACAGCUCAGAGCCUGGAGCCUGCUUUGGAUUCUGUGUCUUCCUCUCUCUCUCUGUUCUUCCCCCACUCAUGCUCUGUCUCUCUUUCCUUCAAAAAUAAACAUUAAAAAAAUUUUUUUUAAGAAAGAAAGAAAAAAAAUCCAUGAUUAUUGCCAUGAUCUUCCAAGUCCAGGGGUCUAAAUGGUCUAACUUCUAGCUCCCUUGUCUACCUCAUUAUUUAGACUUUUUUCAUGACUUACUCUGCUCAAGUCAAACUGGCUUCAUUGCUGUUCCUCCAAUAAGCCAAGGAUACAUUUAUCAUAGGGUCUUUGUCCUGUUACUCUUUCUGCCUGAAAUGCUAUUGCCCCAGAGCAGAUAGCCACGAAACUCUCUUCCUCAUCUCACUCAAGCUUCUGCUGAAAUACCAGCUGCUCAUAGAAUCCUCUCUGACUAUUCUAUCAAAAUAGCAUCCUCAUCACUCUUGAUGCCCUUACCCAGCUUUAUUUCUCUUCAGAGAAGCUACCAUCAUAUUACAUGAAUGUGUUUAUUGUCUGUUUACCCAGUUCACUGGAAUAUAAGUUUCUUUAUUUAGCUGAAUCCUCACCACCUAGAACAGGACUUGAGACAAUGUAAGAACUCAAUAAAUAAUUGAUGAGUAAAUGAUUAAUUUAUCUCCUUCUCUCUUACUUCAUGCCCCCAAACUGUGUUUUCUCUGGGAUUCUAGGUAAAAGGUACACGAUUUUCCCAAUCCUAGCCUAACGCAGAAGCUUGAUCUUUAGCCUCAACCCCUUCCUCUUCUUUCCACCCACAUCCCAUUUGUCAUGCAUCUUAGUGUAUCUUUCUAAGUCUCUCUCCUAUCACAUCUGAUUUCUCUAUCUUUGCUGCUGUGGCCUUGUUUUCAGUGUAAUGGAUCCCUUUGUAAAUUUGAUAAAACCUAGGGGUCUUCUCAGGAAAAUAUUCAUGGAAACAUCAUAUUCUUCAUAAAAGGGUUUCUAGAUUUUCCAAAGCCCGGUGUGGACUUCCCUCCUCAGGUGCCACAAUGUCCAAGGGUAAAAAUCUCUGCCUUAAAGAUUCCUUAUUUCUUAUCUGAAUAACUGUGAUGUCUGCUAUGCUCUGAAUGUUUGUACCCCGCCACACCACACCAGAAAAUGCGUAUGUUCAAAUUCCAAUGUGCUUCUAUUAUGAGGUAGUCUUUGGGGGGUGAUUAGGUCAUGAGAGGAGAGCCCAUAUGAAUGGGAUUAGUGACAUAGAUAGACUCACCUCUUUAUCCACGCGAGGUUACGUGGAGAAGGCAGUGGUCAAUGAAGGAGCAAGCUGUCGUCAGACACUAAAUCUGCUGGCACCUUGGUCUUGGACAUCCAGCCUCCAGACCUGUAAGAAAUAAAUGUUUGUUAUUUGUAAACCAUCCUGUUUGCGGUAUUCUGUUAUAGUAGCCCAAAUGGACUAAAACAAUGUCCUCUGACAGGUGUCCCUGCCACCAAUCCUACCCUUCCUUUCAUCCACUUUCCACAAGAGCCGCCUAAGUAAUCUUUUAACAGUGUAGCUUGGUCCAUGGCCUCCUAUUUGUCCCCUGUAACACCUGUUAAUGGUCCUCCAUCACCUUAAGAGCAAUCUCCUCCAUGUGGGUGCAUGCUGCUCCUUAUUCCUCCAGCCUCAGCCCUUUAGUGUUCCACACCCACCCUCAGCUGGAACUAUCCUGAAAAACUCCUCUCUCAUACCUCUGUGCCUUUGCAUGUGAAGGUUCUUUGCCCUACCUGGCCCCUCACUUCCAUCUGCUUGGUUACCUGCUACUCAUCUUCUCCCAAACAGUUCAAGGAUUAUCAUGAAGGCACUCUCUCAUCUCCUGGGGCUUAACUAGAGGCUCUUUCCUCAUAUCAGACUGUUGUGUGAUCAUCAUCUUGUCCAUUUCCCCUGUCAGAUGGUGCAACAUUGAGAACAGGAGCCGUUUUGUUAAUCUCUGUGCACAUAGUGGGUGCUCGAUGAAGGUGUAUUGAAUGACCAGAUGGAAUAAUCAGGUAAAAGAAGAGAGAGGAGGAAGCAGCACAUUUUAGAUUCAUAUAAAUGGGGCAGGUGUAGCCAACACGGCUUCCAAAAUAGGAAAAUCCAUAUUUACAGAGGAGAUAAAGCUGAUAGUUCUUCCAUUUACAAAAAGGAUUCACCACAAGGGGCCUCUAAAUAGCGGGCACUUUAACCACCCUAUGUAAGUGUUUGUUUACAGAUCAUUAAUCAUUUCACAAAGAAGCCAAAAGCUCAAGUGCAUCCAAUCAGAGCCUUUAGAACUGGAUCACAAGGCUUCUGAAAUUACAAGUUAAUGAUUCAAUGUUAAGCUAUACAAUUAACACAUGACUUUUCAGGAACAAGCCAGAGAGAGAGAGAGAGAGAAGGAGAGGGAGGGAGGGAUAAAGAAGAACCAUAGCAACAGGAGAAAUAAUUUUGAGAAGUCUGAAAGACCCAAGAAUUGUCUUAAAGCAGGACAUCUCCCCUCUUGUGUGGCAGGUGGAUGGUUGAGGGUAGGGGGGGGGGGGGGGGGGGGUUCCAAAAUGAUUAGACACCUACAAGUAGGCCUUCAUAGUAGUCAGUAAAGACAAAUUUCUCAACUUCUAGUGAAGACUAGGAUACAGAGAGAUAUUGUCUUGGCCGUCAGUAUGCACUUAACAAGUCAAAUAGAUUUACUCUGGCACAAACCCUAAAGUUCACUCAUCUAUUCACCAAAUAUCAGUUGAACAUCAGUUGAGCACUUGUCACAUGUCAGGCCGUGUGAGAUAAAAUGCUGACCAAGAUCUAGGCAAUCCCUUGCUCUCAAGGAACUUGCAUUUUAGAGGGAGGAGCAAGUGAUCAAUUAACACACGAGGUAAUUUACUGCAGUGAAAGUAGUAGCAAAGGAGUAAGAAAGUGAUGUGACACUGAGGGUGGGGAUACCAUGAGAUUCUCUAGACAAGGAAGGCUCUCUGGGAGCACAUUAUCAGGGCUGAGCCUGAUGGACGAGAAGGAGGCAGCCACAGAAAGAUCUGGAGAAAGGCACUUCUGGAAAAGGGACCAUCAAGGUCCAAAGCCUCAGAUGGGAAAGAUCUAAGGGCCAAAAAGCCCUUAAACCAAAAGAGGCCACUGUAACUGCAGUUCAAUGAAGGAACAAGGCUUGGAUGAGGUUUAGAGGCAGACUUUGCAGAGCUUUGUAAAAUGAAUAAGGACUAUGGAAUUAUUCUAAAUGCAAUGGGAGACCAUUAUUUCAUCAGGAGAUGAUGUACUUAGAAAUAAUCACUGUGGUGGCUAUAUGGAGAAUAGGGAAGAAGGAAUAAACUAGAACACUAGUUAGGGGCUGUUGCAGCAGUACAGAUAGAAGACGACAGUGGCAUGGAGCAGGGUAGUGGUAGAAGCAGACAGAUGUGGACAGAUUGCAGAUCUAGCUCAUAUGGGGCACAGAAAUAUUGUGAGCAAUGACAGGUGGGGCCUCUCUAAGUUCCUUUGCCACUCAAACAUUCUGUGACUAUUACUUGGCUACCAUGGCCAUCAAAAUGGAGCUCCUUGUUGAGGAAAUCUGCCUGUCAUGAAAGCUGGGCAGAGCCGUAGUUGGGUCACACUGUGAUCAUCACAGGCCCAUGACUUUGGGGUAAGAAUUCCUAUAAACCCAUCACUUGAGAAACCCAGAAGAAAUCCAUUCUUUGCAUUCUAGAAGUUCUUCGUCCUGGAGCUAGCACUGCUGCAUCUUCCUUCUUGCCCUGAGCCACUUACACUGUCUUGGGAAUUCUCUAUUUCAGGGAAUGGUGUCACCCAUCCAACCAGAAGACAGCAAACCAUUUUUGACAAUUCUGUUGCAAACUGACCAAAGUCAGGAUGGUUGGUCACAAUUACUCUGCAUUGGGUAGCUAAUGGCAUCUCUCAAAUAUUAGAAUAUAGAGGCUAUAGGUCUCUUUCCCAACAACCUCACAAUCAGAGCAUGCCUCAGACCAGAUUCUGCCUCACGGACAGACAUUUAUUAGCAGACAAGCACAAAAAUGAGCACACAGCUAGGUUUGUGAUCUCAAGCUAACCCAGCUUCCUAUCAUCUAAGCACUCAAAAGCACUUUGCAUUAAAAGUUCACCUUGAGACAAAUGCGACCAUACCCCAUUGCAGGAUUCAGUUAACUGGGACUAGUUAACUGGACAUCUGGGUUCUCAACCAGAGCAGAUUUUGUCCCUCAGUUUUUUCUUCCAGGAAAUUUAUGGAGAUAUUUUUGUCUUUAACAACUGGGGAAAUGCUCCUAGCAUCUAAUCAGUAGAGGACAGGGAUGCGGCUAACCAUCCUAUAAUGCAUUCCAUCUAUUCCCAGGGUCUAUAUGUAUACCUUUCUAAAUAGGUAUAGAAUCCAUCUCUCACCUCUGCCUUCUACUGCCCUAGUUUGGAUCUUCAGCAUUUCAGACAAAGACUUCCUCCCACCUGCUUCCCAGCCCCCCUGUUUCUUCUGGCCCAAUCUCCCACCCUGCUGUCAGACCGAUCUUCCCAAACUAGGACUGGUAUCCUCCUUUUUUUUAAUUUUCCAGUGUCUCUUCCAUGUACAAUAAACUAACUCUUUGCUUUCUUUCCUGCCUCUUCUCCCCUGGGCAUUUUAUCUCAACCUGCUACAGUUGCUUUAGUAUACCAAAUUCUUCCAAAUCUCUGUGCCUUUGUACAUGCUAUUCCUCUGCCUGGAAGGCCUUCCUGUCUCUCUUUCUUACUCCCUUCCACCUUUCUAUGUACCCACAGCUUGAGCCUAAACUCAAAUACUGCCUCAUCCUUUGGCAACUCCAAGCCAACCCUGGGCCUCCUUACUGACCUUGCCUUAUUCUGUACAAAUCUCUACUGAAGCCAAUGUCCUAGUUGUCUUUCUGUACUGCAACUAUUUGCCUGUCUACUCCCCUCCUAACUCUGAACUCCUAUAUGAUUAAUUCAUUGGGCCCAGCAUGCCUACACAGUAGGCAGCAGCUAAAUAUGUGUUCAAUAAAUGAUCACUUUCUAUGCCCUGGGUAGUGUGGUUUUUGCUUUUUGUUUUGUUCUUUAACAGAUUUUAAAUUCUUCAAAUUUUCAGAAGAUGAAGUGAUACAAAUGAGGUACUGUGGUUUUCAAAUCUCAGUGUGCCUAAGAAUCCUCCUAAAGACUUGUUUCAAAAGCAGAUUCAGGGGCCCCAAAUACCCAGGUAGUUUUUAAAAUUAAUAAAUUUUUAAAAAGUGAGAUUUAAUUUACAUAUCAUGAAAUUCAUCCUUUAAAACUAUACAAUCCAGUGAUUUCGUAGUAUAUUCACAAAGUUGUGCAAUUGUCACCACUAUCAAAUUCUAAAACAUUUUUAUCUUUCUAGAGAGAAAACCGUAUUUAUUAGCUGUCACCCUUUGUUUACCCCUCCCCCCAACCCCAACCCCUGGCAAUCACUAAAUUCCUUUCUGGUCUCUGUGGAUUUGCCUAGUCUGAAUAUUUCCUAUAUUCCUAUUUCCUAUAUUGGGUUGUUUUGGUAUAUUUGUUGUUGUUGAAUGGUAGGGGUUCUUAAUAUGUUUUCGGUAUUAACUCCUUAAUAGAUAUAUGAUUUGCAAAUAUUUUCUCUCAUUCUGUGUGUUAUGUUUUCAUCUCUCGACAGUUUUUUGAUGUGUAAGUGUUUUUUAAUUUGAAGAAGUCCAAUGUAUCUAUUUUUCUUUUAUUUCUUGAGCAUCUGAUAUCAUAUCUAAGAAACCAUCACCUCAUCCAAGGUCACAAAAAUUUAUGCCUAUGUUUUCCUCUAAGUUUUAUUAGCUCUUAUAUUUAAAUCAUUGACCCAUUUGAAUUAACUUUCAUAUGGGGUGUGAAGUAAGGGUCCAAUCUCAUUCUUUUGUAUGUAGAUAUCCAGUUGUCCCAGCACCAUUCCUUAAAAAAGGCUAAUCUUUUCCCCAUUGAAGGGUAGAAAGUCAACUGAUGAGAAAUGUAAAAGGUUUGUUUUUUUUUGAUUCUCAACCAUAUCCCUUUGAUAUACAUGUACUUAUUUCUAUGCCUGUACCACACACUCAAAUAGCCAAGGAGCCACAUUUGGAAGAACCUUUGUCUAACUUACAGUUGUUACAAAUAAGAGCUAAUCCAAAACAAUGGUUCCCAACCAGACUGAACAUGACAAUCAUUACAAGGGUUUCAAAAAGAAAAAACUCCUGAUCUCCAGGUGUUCCUCUGUCCCAUCUCCCUCUCAUCCCCUAGGGUUUGGAUUCAGCAGAUGGCCCUGAGGCUCAGGAACUGCUGUUUUUAAAAUGCCACUCUCAUGAUCAUCCAGAAUUGGGAAUCGCUGGUCCAGGUGAUCAUUUAAAGUCCUUUCCAACACAAGGGACCUAUAAUGUUAGGAAAAGAGAAAAUUUAAGGUAGAAGUUUGACCCCAAAACACGUUAAAUGAUCAUCCUAUGUGUAUUUGGCCUACAGAAGGCAUUUCUCUGAUGAAAUAAAUUUGGAUAUGAUUUUAUGAAAAACAAUUGAAGUCAAAGGACCAGUAUUACUCAAGAUGUUUAGAUUAGGAGGAGCUAUUUCAUAGUAUUAAUGCAGAUGUGGGAACUCGCCCUAAGGCCAGGCACAGUGCCUUCCUUGGGCUCCCACGGCCCCAUGCUCUGUCGAUGAAGUGUCUGUCUCCCUCACUAAUCUCUGGAACUUCUUGAGCAGAAACAGGAUUUUUUCCAUUUUGGAUUUCCAACGUCCAUCGCUGUGCCUAGAAAAUUGCAGGUACUCAAUAAAAUGUCAAAUUAAACUAAACAUAGUUUCUAUAUUUAAUCAAGUGCACAGAUAAGGUCAAAUAGCAGGCUUUAUGUAAAAAUGCUAGGUAUGUGAUGCUUUGAAAACAGAACUGGAAAGGAAUUAAGCAAUGGGAUUAAAAAGAUUAUUUUUUUAAAAAACCAAGCAAUUAUUUUUGCAUCAUGUUUAUCAUCUUAGUCCUUACCCGCCUGCUUACUGACUGUAUUUAUUCCUCUGGGUCCCAGCAGGAAACAGAUGGCUCACCAGAGUUGAAUGGAGAAACGAUUUCCAGGGGAGUGGGCAGAAUUAAGGGGACAACAAGAAAUGAAGCCCGUGGGACUAGCGACAGUGAGAUGUCCUAACCUUCUCUAGGCCUGAAGGGACCAGGGAACAGAGCAGAGUGGCCAGAACCUAGUGAGAGCUGGAACCCAGACAGAGGGCCGCACAGCAGGACCUGCAGCCAUUGGCACGAAAUAGGCAGAAAAGAGCACAACAUUCCUCAGGAAGGUCGACUGGAGAAUCGCCAGCAUACUCACCCAUGAGGAACAGAAAGCCAUGGACAUCAACAAUAAUCCAUUGGAAAAAACCAGAAAUGUAAGGAGCUGAGGUGCAGAAAUCAGUUAAUCUUCUUAGUCUUCAGCUAUUUUGACCUUUCUGGAACAUUGCGCUUUCAUUAAUUCAUUUAUCAAAUACUUGAGUCUUUUUAUGUUGUCAGCACUGUUUUUGGCCCUGGGGAUACAAAGAAGAAUAAGACACGUUUCCUGCUCUCACAAAGUUUUCAUUGGGGACUGAGGGACACAGGCAAACAAUGACAAUACAAUAUGAUAGUACAAUGGUGGGUGUAUUUGUUGCCUAGGGCCGUUGUGACUUGCCCAG